AACGCAAAUUGCACUCCCUGGUAUUCCGGGGAGUAUGCCUGUUUGAGGGUCAGUUUAAGUAAAAAUCGAGGUGUUGCUUUUUUUUGUGACGCAUCGGAAUUGGGUUUAUCUUUUUUGUCCUUUGGAUUUUUAAGAGACCUAAAAUUGAUACCUUGUGCAUCUCAGACGUACAUAAGAAUUUUUUUUUUAUCCGUCCGGAGUUGCCAAUUUUUAUUAGGUAUGACCACGUUUUUUUUUUGUGUGGCAUCGUACCUAUAACAUACUCAUAUUUUGACCUCAAAUCAGGUAGGAGUACCCGCUGAACUUAA
RNAcentral lists this unclassified non-coding RNA (308 nucleotides) under uncultured fungus. Its description in RNAcentral is "partial contains 5.8S ribosomal RNA, internal transcribed spacer 2, and large subunit ribosomal RNA". The stretch from base 1 to 52 matches the Rfam family "5.8S ribosomal RNA", at positions 103 to 154 of the family's 154-position model. The record is from RNAcentral. Lineage: Eukaryota; Fungi.